AUGUCCGUGAGCUCGGCGAUGUCAUCUCUCGGCGGCCGGGCUGUGGAGGUCCCUCUCAUCCGAUGCCCUCAUUGCCGCACGCGGGUGAAGUUCUACCUGUCGAACACAGACACGCAUGAGGGUUGGUUGUUCUACAAGUGCAUCAAUGGUCCUUGUGGUUUCUGGCACUGGGAGUUGGAGUAUAUUGUGUAUCUUGUUGAGCAUCGUUUCCUCAAUGGGAAUGAAGCAGUGGAUGCAAUUGGCGCUGCAGAGGAUAGGAGAGAACAACUCCUUCGAGAAAGGGAAGAAAGGGCUAGGCUUGCAGGCAUUGCAGCUGGGAUAUAUGACAGGAGGCCUUCAGGCAGUCCCAUGACCAAGCAGCAGGCAGAUGCUCUUUUAUGUUUAGGUAGAGAGAUGCUUCUGGUUUUGAAGGCAAUGAUGGGAUCAUUCUUAUUGCUGUGUGUCAUGUUUGGUAUCUCCCUUCUGAAGAAAUGA
Molecule: ribosomal RNA, 474 nt
Filed under: Triticum aestivum (bread wheat)
Lineage: Eukaryota; Viridiplantae; Streptophyta; Magnoliopsida; Poales; Poaceae
Description: partial small subunit ribosomal RNA
Source: RNAcentral